GAUAGAUAGUGAGAGAGAUAUAUAUAGAUAUUAUUGCCUUCAUCUUAUUUAUAUGUAAUUAGAUAAGACAUGAUACGGUUACAACUUAUCGAAGACAUGAAAUUAAAUAUAGGAAUGUGUGGAUGACACAUAUUAGGGCAGAAAAUUAAGUAGGUAGGAGUGCAUUAUCUUGUUGUCCUUGCCAGUAGUCAUAAAACUACCCUUAUAGUUUCUUGUUAUUUGAUUUAUACUAGUAUCUAUUAUUUCAUGUAAUUCGCUUAUACUUAGCAUUUUGUUGUACUACUGUUCUGAUACUAUUCAUUGUUUUUACUAUUUAUUGUCUCCUAUACUUUCAUUAUGUACUUUUUAGAUUGCUUCUGUCUUGAGUCGGGGGUCUAUAAACAACCUCUCUGCCUCACGUCUGAGGUAGAGGUAAGGUUUGUGUACACUUCGUUCUCCCUAAACCUCAUCAUGCGGAAGUACACUGAGUAUGUUGUCAUUGUUGUUGUUACUAUUUUUGUUCAUUUAUUUUUCGAAAAUGAUAUUUCUUUUAUAUGUUUAAAACUUUUUAAUUUUAAUUUUUCCAUCUUUUCCAAAUAAUACUCUCUUGUAGGAGGUAAUAUACUAGCUCACUUCGAUUGUUUACAUCAAAUAAUGUAACUUUAUGUAAUUAAAUAAUUUAAUAGAGUGAACAUAUAUAUUAAUAGCUCAUGAUUUAGUGAUAAUUCAUAGUGUGUUGAAACGUAUGUCAUGUAUUUAUUGAUUUAAUAUAUUUUAAGAUAAAUAAUUUCAAAAUUAUUUAUAUCACUCCAUAAUUAUAAUAAGAGUUUAAGUUUUGUGCAUGGUUAGGGUAUAAAAUAUUCUAUACUAUAGGUAAACUUAAUCUGUUAUUGCAGGUUAUCCCUUUUUUUAAAUAAAAAUUUAAAAAGAAAAAAUUGGGUAACCUAUAAUAGCAGAUAAAGUUUAUCUGAUUGUGUAGAAUAUUUUGUUAUAACAUCCUUAAUAUGAAAUAAAAAUCUCUCAAGAAAAGUCUAAGAUUAAAUGGUCCAUACAUUUGUGAAUUCCUUAUCAUUGUUCCCUUGAGGAUUAUUAUAAAAGGGUCAUCAUAUAAGCUUAUACUAUUUUAUUAGUUAAGCACCUCAUCAUAUACACGUAUAUCUUGUAAAAAUAAUAAAUAUAUUCCUUUUUCACCAUAUAUCUUUUGAAGCCAUGAAUCACAAAGCAUCUCUUUACUAUUCAUAGCCUUUUUUGUCUUAAUUUUUUUUGUCUAUCCUCAACAAACUCGAGGAGAUUGUUAGAAGGAAAAAUACCCUAUGAUCCAUUACACAAAGGACCAAUAUGCAAGAAGAAUAUCUAUGGCAAAUGUAUAGCCACUAAAAAACCACCCAUUGCAUUAAAACCAGCACCACAUGCUUCAAAACCUUGCCUUCCUUAUCCUUACAAAUGCAAUGGGAAACCAUAGAAGCAUAUCGGAGUUCGGUGCACAAAAUAUUCCGUAUUAACAGAAUCCAAAGAAGAGAUGCACCGUUUUAUGAUAUUUCUAUAAAUGCACUAUAUAUACACACAUAUAUAUGUGUGUACGCGUUAUGUGUGUUUAGUUUAUUGUCAGUAUUGUUAUACUAUUGUAUUUUGUUUUGGAAUUUUUGAAUUAUGUAACACUCAACGUACACUCAUUGUUUAUAUUAUAUCAAUAAAUGUGUACGAAAUAUUAUUAAUUAAUACA
Molecule: long non-coding RNA, 1702 nt
Organism: Capsicum annuum
Lineage: Eukaryota; Viridiplantae; Streptophyta; Magnoliopsida; Solanales; Solanaceae
Exons: 2
Source: RefSeq, a predicted model, not a curated record